Pseudopipra pipra is the source of this 2311-nucleotide long non-coding RNA. RefSeq lists it as uncharacterized. The record is from RefSeq and is a predicted model, not a curated record. NCBI's taxonomy places the organism in Eukaryota, Metazoa, Chordata, Aves, Passeriformes, Pipridae. The transcript has 2 exons.
AUAUAAUUAUUCCAAUUCUGUUCAAUAAUACAUAUGUAAAAGAAAUAUUGUAUAUUGGCUGCACAGCCACACAUGUAUCUAAAAGACGGAAUAAUGUUUAAAAACAUUUUAAGAUAGUUGUAUCUACAAGUUCCAGACAGAAUAUGCAGAAUUACUUACAAACAGUGUAUUUUAUAUACCUUUAUAUUUUAAAGCAUGAUCAAGUUACAGGUAAAGUGGUAAAGUGGGGGUGGGGUGGGGGUGGAAUCUGCCAUUGCUGCCAAGUACAGAACUCAUCUUUUUUUUCACUCUUAUAGUCAUAUUUGAGAUACUGUAUUUACUUUCUGAUGGUGUGGUGUUGUUAAUAUAUCAUAAAUAGGGUACAAUUAAAAAGACCACAAAUACAGCAGCAGAGAUAAAAGACAGUUAAAAAAGAAACAUUCCCCCCCCCCCCCCCCCCCAACGGGGUGUGGUUGAGAGGAGUGGAACAAGCAAGGACUAACACCUGGGCUUGUACCUGGCUGUGCCUUUGUGACUAAUAUUACAGCUUAGGGAAGCCAAAAAUUGCAAAACGGACAAAGUUUCCCCAAGUACCUGAAGCAGUAAUUCACCUAAUGUCUACAACAGCCAGGAAACAGAUUCCCUUUCUGCCUCAGAAGAACCCAUUUAUCUAUUUCACGGGGGAUUUGCGCAGUGUAAAGCUCCAGAAAGCCCAUGGGCUGACAUGGGGAAAUGGCAUCCAGCAGCACAGGGCAGCCCAGGCAGCCCAUCAAGAGCAAAGCCACAAAACAGAGCCAGAGGCAGCUCCAAGGCUGCCAACACAACUGCCUACAAAAGCUGCCAACGAGCCAGUAACUGCUUGUGGGAAAAUAUCACUUACCCGUAGCAUCUGGGUCCCGUGAUUACUGUCCAAAGAAACACAGACUGGUAAGAUAAUGACAGGAUAAAUAGCACUUCAUUUCUCCUAUUUCUCCCCCUUUCCUCCCACAGAUUUUUUUAUACACUACCCCACAAACCUGGGUACAAUUUUUUAAAAAUUUAGUUGUUUUAAUCUUUGUGUUACUCAUGAAGUAAAAUGAGCCUUCCUGCUUCAUCUCUAAAAAUAGCUUUUGCACGCGCUUCCCCUGGCUCCCGAUGUACGACACAUCGUGGGGCCAUUUGUUACCAUUAUUGACAUGUUUGUGGUGAACUGCAAGCGUGUUUACAGUAGAAAUGAAGUCCCUGCUCUCUUGGAGGUAAUCCUGGGGAGUCUAAAAGACUCACGGGAGUCCUUGACAUGGAUUCUCUAAAAAGAAUUUCUGUUCCCAUAUAAAUAAAUUAUCUUGGGGCCAAAUAUUUAUAUUUUCCUUCUAUUUCAGGAAGGCAGCAGAUGCAAAAGUUCCCGAUGGUUCUAGCAAUAGUGCCCUGCACAAGCUCUUUGCUAUGGGACAUGACAAUGAAUGGGAGAAAAAGAGGAAGAGAAGGGCUUUGCACUUACUCCUUGCAGUGUAAUAGAAUGAGAAAUGGGGCUUUUGCCACAAGAUUAAAAUAUGAAAAUUGCAUCACGUGCACAUGAGUGGAGCUUCAGCCAAGUGAUCAGCACUAUCACAGCAGCGUCAUCGUUUUCUCCAGCAUCCUCUUCAUCUUGUUUAUGAAAAUUGCAUACUGUAACAUAAACUUUCAGAAGGAAUGUAUCAUUACAAGAGCUGCCCUGACAAGAAGCCCUCAUUCAGAUCAUUAAUAUCUUCCCCCAAAAAUUCAUCAGGGACAGAGAAACACCUGUACAGCUGCACCAGAUGUUUCUUAAUAGUUCUGCUUGUGUUGCUGUCUGAUAUUGAUCAGUUCAAUGCUAUUCCUUAGCUACUAGAUCUAAAAUCAUUUACAAGCUCCUUAUUGUUAGGGCUUUGCUCAGCUGAAGUUGCAAAAGCGCAGUGGCACAUGCACUUUCUUAAUUGCACAAUGGAUUUUUAAAAAGCAGUAAAAGUAAAUACUCUGAUGCAUAGUAAAUGACUGUUCAUUCUCUCCAGUAACCAAAAUAAAACAUAUUCCAACCAUAUGCUUGGAAGAGAGAUAGGUAAUAUACGCUAAGAAACAGCAGAAAAUAUUUUCCAACUGCCCAAGUUCCUGGUUUUAGAGCAGUAAUUUUCUUCAGCACUUGAAAAAGAAAUCUUUGCUCAGGGUUGACUUGGUGCUGUUUUCUGUAUAAUAUGCUCAUGUACAUAAUGGAGAGCAAGCAUUACAUGCAACAUCCUUGCAAGCAUCAACUUUAUCUACCAGUCCUCCCAGGCAGGGUAUCCUCUCACUUGUCAAUGAACUGAAUCUUCUAUUAAAAACUGAGUUGAACAAAGAAAAA